AUGGGGUCCGUCCCGCCCGGGGAGAAGGUGGUGCUCGUCGGCCACAGCCUCGGCGGCGUGAGCAUCGCCCUCGCCUGCGAGCUGUUCCCGGAGAAGGUCGCCGCUGCGGUGUUCGUCUCCGCCUUCAUGCCGGACCACAGGUCGCCGCCGUCGUACGUGCUUGAAAAGUACAUGAAGCGGAGAAUGGACUGGAUGGACAUGGAGUUUAAGCCUCAAGAUCCAGAGGGCAAGCUCCCUACUUCCAUGCGGUUCGGGCCGCUGGUCACCCGAGCAAAGUUCUACCAGCUGUGCUCGCCGGAGGACCUGACGCUGGGAAAAUCCCUGAUGAGGGUCGGCUCGAUGUUCGUGGACAACCUGAAACUGCAGCCACCAUACACCGAGGCUCGCUACGGCUCGGUGCGCAAGGUGUUCGUCGUCCUCAAGGACGACAACGCCAUCUUUGAGGGGUUCCAACGGUGGAUGGUCCGGAACUGCCCCGUGGACGAGGUCAGGGAAAUCCACGGCGCCGACCACAUGGCGUUGCUCUCGACGCCGGCCGAGCUCGCGCACUGCCUCGCCGACAUCGCCGGCAAGUAUGCUGCUUGCAUUGACGAUGGUGUGGCGCCCGUUGCUCGUUGCCGGUAUUAA
RNAcentral lists this ribosomal RNA (627 nucleotides) under Triticum aestivum (bread wheat). RNAcentral describes it as "partial small subunit ribosomal RNA". Lineage: Eukaryota; Viridiplantae; Streptophyta; Magnoliopsida; Poales; Poaceae. The record is from RNAcentral.